AUUGAACGCUGGCGGCAGGCCUAACACAUGCAAGUCGAGCGCGAAAGUUCUUCGGAAUGAGUAAAGCGGCGGACGGGUGAGUAAUACAUGGGAAUCUGCCUGGUAGUGGGGGACAACGUUUCGAAAGGAACGCUAAUACCGCAUACGCCCUACGGGGAAAGGGGGGAGUCUGCGGACCUCUCGCUAUCAGACGAGCCCAU
Molecule: ribosomal RNA, 200 nt
Filed under: uncultured bacterium
Lineage: Bacteria
Description: partial 16S ribosomal RNA
Rfam family: Bacterial small subunit ribosomal RNA
Source: RNAcentral